RNAcentral lists this ribosomal RNA (449 nucleotides) under uncultured bacterium. Its description in RNAcentral is "SSU rRNA". It matches the Rfam family "Bacterial small subunit ribosomal RNA", at positions 26 to 518 of the family's 1533-position model. The record is from RNAcentral.
AGAGCGAACGCUGGCGGCAGGCUUAACACAUGCAAGUCGAGCGCCCGUAGCAAUACGGGAGCGGCAGACGGGAUAGUAACACGUGGGAACGCGCCCUUCGGUUCGGAAUAACUCAGGGAAACUUGAGCUAAUACCGGAUACGCCCUUACGGGGAAAGAUUUAUUGCCGAAGGAACGGCCCGCGUCCGAUUAGCUAGUUGGUGAGGUAAUGGCUCACCAAGGCGACGAUCGGUAGCUGGUCUGAGAGGAUGACCAGCAUCACUGGGACUGAGACACGGCCCAGACUCCUACGGGAGGCAGCAGUGGGGAAUAUUGGACAAUGGGCGCAAGCCUGAUCCAGCCAUGCCGCGUGGAUGAUGAAGGCCUUAGGGUUGUAAAGUCCUUUUAACGGGGAAGAUAAUGACGGUACCCGUAGAAUAAGCCCCGGCUAACGUUCGUGCCAGCAGCCGC